Long non-coding RNA from Gopherus evgoodei (Goodes thornscrub tortoise), 723 nucleotides. RefSeq lists it as uncharacterized. The transcript has 2 exons. Lineage: Eukaryota; Metazoa; Chordata; Testudines; Testudinidae. The record is from RefSeq and is a predicted model, not a curated record.
UGACCUCAGCCGGGGGGAAAGAGUCACACUCACAGAAGAUGCCCAUGGUGCUGAGCCUACGAGUGAAGGCUGAGUGCCCCAGCGGUGCCCAGGUCUGCCAGCCUCGCUGUUGGGAUGCACGUGUCAUAUGCAGAGUGAUGUUUAUUCCAGGUGCGACAAAUAUGUAGCCACAGCAAGUUUUCCUCUAAAACUGUGAGAGUGUCAGAGGUCUCCCAGUGCGGGGGCUGAGACCGUUUUGUCUUCACAGUCCAGCCGCCCACACAUGUGCCCUGUCCCUCCCUCAGCAGUGCUUGCCUUCCCUAGAAUGGGGGAGGCACCAUCUUGAGAUCAUACUGCCUUGCUUCGCAUUGCCCCAGCCUCUAGCAAACCACAGCCACGUCGUGCACCCCAACAACUGGGGAAAGGAAUGCCCACUCCAAUGUAUAGGGGGAGAGUGGGAUGAGCUUAAUGAGGAACUAAACCCAGAAUACCGUCUGGGAGCCGAGGUCUGUAUCCCAUGGAACUAAGAACGACUCCUAUUCAGUGAGCUGCAGGCCCAGCGUUUGGUUGGAACCUCUGUGAGGAAAGAGCAAAGAGCGGGCCAAGCAGCUGCUGUAGUAGAGGGUAAGCAUCUUACACCUGCUGUUGUCCCUGCCCAAAUCUCAUUCCUGAGCUGCUGAUGCAAGAAAUGGAAAGGUUCCAACUCUUCCCAACACAUAUUAAAAUAUAUGAUGCAGAAACGAA